GUCCAUGGUGAGGACCAGGGCCUGGUGGAUGUGGCUGCAGGUCCUUGGCAGUCAGGCAGCUCCUGCAGCAGCGACUCUGAGGUGAAGACGUCUGGAUGGGAGGAGACACAAGACGAGCUGCCGCCUGGAGACCUUCAUCCUGCUGCCGAGUCUCAUCACGAUCAGUUCAGUUCAGCGCUUCACAUUCCAAUUUCUCUGUUUUAAAGCUUCUGAGUGAUGGGACGCCAUGUUUGCUGUGUUUGCUUUUCAUGUAUCAGACUCUGAUCAGAAUUUCCUCCUGAUAAACAACAUAAAACUGCCUUGUGUCUAAUAAAAGCAAGUCAUCUCUA
Molecule: long non-coding RNA, 329 nt
Organism: Scatophagus argus
Lineage: Eukaryota; Metazoa; Chordata; Actinopteri; Scatophagidae
Exons: 2
Source: RefSeq, a predicted model, not a curated record